GAUGAACGCUGGCGGCGUGCCUAAUACAUGCAAGUCGAGCGAACGGAGGAGUAGCUUGCUUCUCUGAUGUUAGCGGCGUACGUGUUAGUAACACGUGGACAACCUACCUAUAAGACUGGGAUAACUUCGUGAACCCGUAGCUAAUACCGGAUAAGAUUUUGAACCGCAUGGCUCAAAAGUGAAAUACGGCCUUGCUGUCACUUAUAGAUGGAUCCACGCUGCAUUAGCUAGUUGGUAAGGUAACGGCUUACCAAGGCAACGAUGCAUAGCCGACCUGAGAGGGUGACCGGCCACACUGGAACUGAGACACGGUCCAGACUCCUACGGGAGGCAGCAGUAGGGAAUCUUCCGCAAUGGGCGAAAGCCUGACGGAGCAACGCCGCGUGAGGGAUGAAGGUCUUCGGAUCGUAAAACUCUGUUAUUAGGGAAGAACAGAUGUGUAAGUAACUGUGCACAUCAUGACGGUACCUAAUCAGAAAGCAACGGCUAACUACGUG
RNAcentral lists this ribosomal RNA (497 nucleotides) under uncultured bacterium. Its description in RNAcentral is "partial 16S ribosomal RNA". It matches the Rfam family "Bacterial small subunit ribosomal RNA", at positions 28 to 507 of the family's 1533-position model. The record is from RNAcentral.